UUUAAACUUUAUUGGAAUUUUUUUUGUAUGCACUUCGUUGCCAAUGGCCCAACUUGGUCACGGUUGUGAAGGCCUAUUUUAUUUGGGCCUAACUAUUUUUGUGUGCAUGUAUGAAAGUGUGUUUGUCGUUAUAGGCCAUGCACAUAUUGGACCGGACGAAUAACUGAAGAGCUGAACAACUCACGAGCCUGAGCAGGAGUGCGUCAGGUUUCUGGUUCACCAUCUUCCAGCUGUUCCGGCCCGUCUCAGUGCCAUCUGAGCCGCGUAGAGCCUCGGACGAAGAGAGCGGGUCCGGGACACGGGGCGGCAAACAGGACAGGGAUCUGCGUCACACCCAUUGAAACCCGAAUGAAUGAACCAACCAGCUCUCUGUGACCUGGAGGAUCACAUGCACAACAUGCGCACUUCGCUGACCUCCUGCUGUGCGUGUCCAGACCAGAUGAAGACACUGACAUCAUCUACUGCAGAUUGACACCAGCAGGUGCACCAGACUUUCACAGUCUGAAGACUCCCUCUCAUCACAUUCACGACCACGUCACGUUCUUGUGCCUCUAAAUUUAAUUUCUGUUCCCUCUUGACUCAGAGGAGUCACACGGGUUAAUAACUGAGGUGAGGCUUGUUACCUAAUGCAGUCUUUGGAGGGUCGGGUCCACGAAGCAAACAUUUUCAGACAAAGAAAAAGAAUAUUCAUAUUCCAAGGGUUUGUCCCACAUUUUGAACAGCAAAUUGUGUAAGUCUCACCUCAUUUGUCCGAUUUCGUCUUUGGCGUCUGCUACUUCCUGGUUAGUGGGCCCAUUAGUUUAGGCUACCAAACUCUCAAAAUGCUGAAUAAAACAAUAAUAUAGAGUAGUGAAGUAUGGUUGUGGUUAAGUAUACUGACAGGGGAAGAAGUUACUGAGGAAAGACGUGUUCAUGUUGGCAGUGUGUGAUAUUUGGGGCUGCUGAAUCCAAAGAUGGAUUAUCAAUGGUUGCAUUAUCGUAGCAUUUAUAGCUUUGCUGGGCGAGUUACCUUGGAGCUGCAAGCACUACUUAUUUUGUUAACUCGAUUCACGUUUUUCUAGAAAAUGCCAGAAAAUUGUCUCAGAACCCAAGGUGUUAGCUUAACGUUAUUGGUUUUGUCGAGCCAACAGUCGAGAACACAAAGAUGUUUCACAACGAUCAAAUGUAUCAAAUCUGUUGAGAGUUUGGAACCAACAUUUAUUUUUUAAAUGUUUGCGUCUGAAUGUGAUUGAGCAAAAAUAUUACCAAAAUGUUACACUUAUUAUUUCAGGCCUGGACAGGUGUUUAUUACCUUUGCCUAAAUUCCUACUUCCACGCAUCUAAUUUGGAAACUUAUCUUUCCCCCUAUCAUUUUUGUAGUGCAUGAUCUUUUCCUAGACAUAACCAAGUGUGAUUUUUGCCUGAACAUAAGGACAUUUGUGGCAGGAAGGGAAAGUUCUCCCUUUUGCGUUUGCAUUUUAUUUUGGUUAGGUUUUUCCAGAUGUUGUAAUUAAAGUCCAGCCUGUGAACCAGCUUCUUUUCCUGUGGUCCAUUCAGCCGUGGAUAAGCCUCGUCUCUAGCACUUAGAUGACAGCACUUAGAUAACACUUGUCAUGGUGAAGAUUUCCCCACUGGCUUGGCUGGCCUCCACCAUGCUGUGAUAGUAUUUUGUGUCAUCGAAAAAUGACGCCAGGUGG
This is a long non-coding RNA of Gasterosteus aculeatus aculeatus (three-spined stickleback), 1676 nucleotides long. NCBI's taxonomy places the organism in Eukaryota, Metazoa, Chordata, Actinopteri, Perciformes, Gasterosteidae. The record is from Ensembl.